RNAcentral lists this ribosomal RNA (497 nucleotides) under uncultured bacterium. Its description in RNAcentral is "partial 16S ribosomal RNA". It matches the Rfam family "Bacterial small subunit ribosomal RNA", at positions 38 to 507 of the family's 1533-position model. The record is from RNAcentral.
GAGGAAAGAGGGAGGAGGGAGGAAUACAGGAAAGUCGAGCGAACAGAUGAGGAGCUUGGGCCUCUGACGGGAGCGGCGGACGGGGGAGUAACACGUGGAGAAGCUACCUAUAAGACUGGGAUAACUUCGGGAAACCGGAGCUAAUACCGGAUAAGAUAUUGAACCGCAGUGGUCAAUAGUGAAAGACGGUUUUGCUGGCACUUAUAGAUGGAUCCGCGCCGCAUUAGCUAGUUGGUAAGGUAACGGCUUAGGAAGGGAACGAUGCGUAGCCGACCUGAGAGGCUCCUCGGCCACCCUAGAACUGAGACACGGUCCAGACUCCUACGGGAGGCAGCAGUAGGGAAUCUUCCGCAAUGGGCGAAAGCCUGACGGAGCAACGCCGCGUGAGUGAUGACGGUCUUCGGAUCGUAAAACUCUGUUAUUAGGGAAGAACAACUGUGUACGUAACUAUGCACGUCUUGACGGUACCUAAUCAGAAAGCCCCGGCUCCCUACGUC